AGAAUAUUAAAGUCUAAAUUAAAGCGUGCUGGAAAAGCGUUAGCUCCUACUGUAAUAGUAAUAGCGAUAAUAAUAAAAUGACAGAAUUGGGAGCGAUUUACAUGUUAUUGAAGAGGAGGAAUUACUGAAGAGUAAUAAUAGAAAAGAAAACAAGUCGGAAGCCCGUUAUAUAAUGCACCGUGUAGACAACGAGAGUGACAGGCUAUUUUUAUUUUGUUUACCGUAUGCUGUGUAAUAGGGACUCCUCCGAACAGCAUCUCUGCCCUGUGAGCCCGAACUCCAGAUAGAAUUGGGGAAAAAUUUUAGGCAUUUCUUUUACGACCAGACGAAGAAAUCUAGUCACAUUGCAGGCCAAGCCAGAUGGGCAAGCAAUACAAGCUGUGAAUUUAUUCUUGACCCCGUAGGACAGUGA
RNAcentral lists this long non-coding RNA (412 nucleotides) under Ficedula albicollis (Collared flycatcher). RNAcentral describes it as "lncRNA (ENSFALG00000023967.1)". The record is from RNAcentral. Lineage: Eukaryota; Metazoa; Chordata; Aves; Passeriformes; Muscicapidae.